GAUGAAGAACGUAGCGAAAUGCGAUACUUGGUGUGAAUUGCAGAAUCCCGUGAACCAUCGAGUCUUUGAACGCAAGUUGCGCCCGAAGCCAUUAGGCCGAGGGCACGCCUGCCUGGGCGUCACACGUCGUUGCCCCCCCCAUCUACUCCUUCGGGAUUGCGGGGGGCGGAUGAUGGCCUCCCGUGCGCCUCGUCGCGCGGUUGGCAUAAAUGCCAAGUCCUCGGCGACGCACGCCACGACAAUCGGUGGUUGCGAAACCUCGGUUGCCCGUCGUGUGCGGUCGUCGCGCAUCGAGGGCUAGAAAAAAUUGUCGGGCUCCGGCUCGGCUUUCAACGCGACCCCAGGUCAGGCGGGGUUACCCGCUGAAUUUAAGCAUAUCAAUAAGCGGAGGA
RNAcentral lists this unclassified non-coding RNA (392 nucleotides) under soil metagenome. RNAcentral's name for it is "partial contains 5.8S ribosomal RNA, internal transcribed spacer 2, and large subunit ribosomal RNA". The stretch from base 1 to 122 matches the Rfam family "5.8S ribosomal RNA", at positions 35 to 154 of the family's 154-position model. The record is from RNAcentral.